RNAcentral lists this long non-coding RNA (438 nucleotides) under Mytilus galloprovincialis (Mediterranean mussel). The record is from RNAcentral. Lineage: Eukaryota; Metazoa; Mollusca; Bivalvia; Mytilida; Mytilidae.
GUUAUUAUCGUCACCAAGACAUAUAUUUCUUUGACUAAUUAAAACUAUAGGUAUAAUUUACCCUCUACAUAUAUUGUCACCAACUAUUACCACCCAAACUGAGUCACCGAGAUUUACUCCCAACUUCUCCCAAAUUCGUCUCCUAAUUUCCUCCAAAAGUCUCCCUAAUUGUCUCCUAAUUUCCUCCUAAAGUCUCCCUAAUUGUCUCCUUAAUUUCCUCCUAAAGUCUCCCAAAUUAGUCUCCUUAAUUUCCUCCAAAAGUCUCCCUAAUUGUCUCCUUAAUUUCCUCCUGAAGUCUCCCAAAUUAGUCUCCUUAAUUUCCUCCUAAAGUCUCCCAAAUUAGUCUCCUUAAUUUCCUCCUAAAUUCUCCGAGAUUUCAAGUUUGGUGUUUCAUAACAUUCAAUUCCAAACCACAACAAUUACUGCUUUCCGCAGUUG